UUUUAUUUCUUUUGUUUGUCGAUUGCUGUGGCUAGCACUUCCAAAACUAUGUUGAAGAGCAGUGGUGAGAGUGGGCAUCCCUGUAUUGUUCCAGAUUUUAGUGGUAAGGCUUUCAGCUUUUCUCCAUUGAGUAUUAUAUUUGCUGUGCAUUUGUCAUAAAUGGCUUUGAUUAUGUUAAGAAAUGUUCCCUCUAUAUCACUUUGGUGAGAGUUUUUUUUUUUUUUUAAAUCAUAAAUGGAUGUUGGACUUUGUCAAUUGCUUUCUCUGGAUUUGUUGAGAUGAUCAUAUGGUUUUUGACUUUUCUUUUGUUAAUGUGGUGUAUGAUGUUGAUUGAUAUGUGUAUGUUGAACCAUUCUUGUCAACCUGGGAUGAAUCCAACCUGGUCAUAGUUUAUGAUCUUUUUGAUAUGUUGUUGGAUUCAGUUGGAUAAAAUUUUGUUGAGAAUUUUUGUGUCUAUAUUCAUCAAAGAUAUUGGCCUAUAGUUUUCUUUUUUGGUGGUAUCUUUGUCUGAUUUUGGAAUUAGAUGGUAGCAUCAUAGAAUGUCUUUGGGAGUGUUCCUUCUUCUUCAGUAUUUUGAAAAAGUUUAAGGAAGAUGGGCCUCAGUUCCUCUUUGUAUUUUUGGUAAUUCGCCUGUGAAGCCAUCUGGUCCUGGAGUUUUAUUUGUGUGGAGUGUUUUUAUAACACAUUCAAUUUCAUUUCUAGUGAUUGGUCUGUUCAGUUGAUGAAUUUCUUCUUGAUUGAGUUUUGGCAGGCUGUAAGACUCUAGAAAGUUGUCCAUUUCUUCUAGAUUGUCCAAUUUGUUGGCAUAUAAUUGUUGAUAGUAUUCUCAUAUUGUUUUUUGUAUUUCUGCAGUAUCAGUUGUGAUUUCUCCUUUUUCAUUUCUUCUUUUGUUUGUUUGGAUUCUUUCUCUCCUCUUCUUGGUGAGUCUAGCCAGAGGUUUGUCAAUUUUGUUUACCUUUUCAAAGAACCAGUUAUUGGUUUUAUUGAUUUUUUUUCUAUUGUUUUUUGAGUCUUUAUUUUAUUGAUUUCCCUUUGAUCUUUAUGAUUUCCUUCCUUCUGCUGACUUCAGGUUUUUUUUGUUCUUCUUUUUCUAAUUCAUUUAGGUGGUGGGUUAAGUUGUCAAUUUGAGAUCUUUUUUCUUUUUGAGGAAGGCCUGUAUUGCUAUGAACUUCCCUCUGAGCACUGCUUUUGCAGCAUCCCAUAAAUUUUGAGUGGUUGUGACUUCAUUAUCAGUUAUCUCAAGGUUUUUUUUUUUGUCUUUUUGCCACUUCUUGGGCUGCUUCUGUGGCACGUGAAGGUUCCCAGGCUAGGGGUCUAAUUGGAGCUGUAGCUGCUCGCCUAUGCCAGAGCCACAGCAACAUGGGAUCCGAGCCACACCUGCAACCUACACCACAGCUCUCGGAAAUGCUGGAUCAUUAACCCACUGAGCAAGGCCAGGGAUUGAAUCCACAACCUUAUGGUUCUUAGAUUCGUUAACCACUGAGCCAUGACGGGAACUCCUCAAGGUAUUUUUUAAUUUCCUUCUUGAUUUCCUCAUUGACCCAUUGGUUUUUUUGUAGCAUGUUGUUUAGUCUCCAUGUAGUAGUUUUUUUUUCUCAUUUCUUUUCCUGUGCUUGAUUUAUAGGUUCAUGCCGUUGUGGUCAGAGAAGAUACUUAAAAUAAUUUCUAUAUUUUUAAAUUUGUUGAAGUUAGAUUUGUGCCCCAAUAUGUGAUCAAUUCUUGAGAAUGUUCCAUGAGCACUUGAGAAGAAUGUGUAUUCUGAACUUUUUUUUGGAUAUAAUGUCCUGAAAAUAUCAAUUAAGUCUAAAUUUUCUGUCUAGAGGAUCUGUCCAUUGAUGUGAAUGGGGUGUUAAAGUCUCCUAAUAUGAUUAUAUUCCCAUCAAUUUCUCCUUUUAUGUCUGUUAAUAUUUGUUGUAUGUAUCUGGGUGCUCCUAUAUUUGGGGCAUAUAUGUUGACGACUGUAAUAUCCUCUUCUUGAAUGGAUCCUUUAACCAUUAACUAUGUCCUUGUUUGUCUUUCUUUAUGGCCUUCAUUUUAAAGUCUAUUUUUUCUGAUAUGAGUAUUGUAGCUCCUGCUUUCCUAUCUUGUCCACUGGCAUGAAAUAUCUUUCCCACCCCCUCACUUUCAAUCUGUAUGUGUACUUUGUCCUAAGGUGAGUUUCUUAUAGGUAGCAGAUUGAAGGUUUUUGUUUUUUUAUCCAAUCAGCCACUCUGUGUCUUUUGAUUGGAGCAUUCAGUCCAUUGACAUUUAAGGUGAUAAGUGAUAGAUGUUUAAUUAUUGCCAUUUUAAGCCUUGUAUUCCAGUGGAUUCUGUGAUUCCCCAUUAUUCCUUUCUUUUUUUGGUUGUAUGGUUUCCAUUUAUUUUAUGCUUGAGUACUUUUCUUUCCCUUUUUGUGAAUGUAAUGUUCAGUUUUGAUUUGUGGUUGCCCUGUUUUUUAAGUAUGUUAACCCCUUCCUAUAAACGUGUGCUUUUUAGUCUGAUAGUCAUGUAGGCUAAAA
Molecule: long non-coding RNA, 2498 nt
Filed under: Sus scrofa (pig)
Lineage: Eukaryota; Metazoa; Chordata; Mammalia; Artiodactyla; Suidae
Description: lncRNA (ENSSSCG00040073696.1)
Source: RNAcentral